CGCGCCCGUGGGACGGCUGACCCCGGUCGAGGGCGGCUACGAGCUGUCCGGGCGGUGGAGCUUCUCCUCCGGAUGCGA
Molecule: transfer RNA, 78 nt
Filed under: Streptosporangium carneum
Lineage: Bacteria; Bacillati; Actinomycetota; Actinomycetes; Streptosporangiales; Streptosporangiaceae
Description: tRNA-Arg
Source: RNAcentral